Molecule: ribosomal RNA, 329 nt
Filed under: uncultured bacterium
Lineage: Bacteria
Description: bacterial SSU rRNA
Rfam family: Bacterial small subunit ribosomal RNA
Source: RNAcentral
CUGCAUGGCUGUCGUCAGCUCGUGUCGUGAGAUGUUGGGUUAAGUCCCGCAACGAGCGCAACCCUCGCCUUUAGUUACCAUCAUUCAGUUGGGGACUCUAAAGGAACCGCCGGUGAUAAGCCGGAGGAAGGUGGGGAUGACGUCAAGUCCUCAUGGCCCUUACGCGCUGGGCUACACACGUGCUACAAUGGCGGUGACAGUGGGCAGCAAUCCCGCAAGGGUGAGCUAAUCUCCAAAAGCCGUCUCAGUUCGGAUUGUUCUCUGCAACUCGAGAGCAUGAAGGCGGAAUCGCUAGUAAUCGCGGAUCAGCAUGCCGCGGUGAAUACGUU